GAAUAUCAUGAUGGUAGAUUUAAUCCUGAUUAGACUCGGAGAGUUUGAUGUAAUUUUCAGAAUGGAUUGGUUGUUCAAAUAUGGAGUAGUAGUUGAUUUCCAAAAGAAGUGUGUAAACCUUAUGACUCCGUCAAAGGUAGUUUUCUAUGGUAGCAAAUUGCCUAGACAAAUGAAAUGUCUGACGAUUAUGCAGUCCAAGAAGUUGG
This 206-nucleotide long non-coding RNA is filed under the name Panax ginseng (ginseng). Its description in RNAcentral is "long non-coding RNA (PGIN_LNC000399)". Lineage: Eukaryota; Viridiplantae; Streptophyta; Magnoliopsida; Apiales; Araliaceae. The record is from RNAcentral.